RNAcentral lists this non-coding RNA (255 nucleotides) under Secundilactobacillus odoratitofui. RNAcentral's name for it is "Lactobacillus odoratitofui T-box sequence". It matches the Rfam family "T-box leader". From Rfam's summary of the family: Uncharged tRNA acts as the effector for transcription antitermination of genes in the T-box leader family. Lineage: Bacteria; Bacillati; Bacillota; Bacilli; Lactobacillales; Lactobacillaceae. The record is from RNAcentral.
AAUUAAGCAACGAAGAGAAGAGUAAGUUAUCACGUCCUGUGAAGAGAGCUGCGGUUGAUGCGAUGCAGCCAGGAUAAUUAACUGAAGAUGAUCUCUGAGCCUGACUGGGGGUAGGUCAACCACGACCCAUGCUACCCAGUCCGUUAGCAAUCGAUAUCUUGCGGAGUAUAACAGGUUAACUGUCGUACUUAUCAAGACUUGAAUUGUGAAGUUCAGGUAAAUUUCAGGUGGUAACGCGAAUCCUUCGUCCCGAGU